Coturnix japonica (Japanese quail) is the source of this 2331-nucleotide non-coding RNA. Lineage: Eukaryota; Metazoa; Chordata; Aves; Galliformes; Phasianidae. The record is from RefSeq and is a predicted model, not a curated record.
GGUUAGGCUGUGGUUGGACUUGAUGAUCUUCAAGGUCUUUUCCAACCUGGGUAAUUCUAUGAUUGUAUGAUUUCUGUGGGCCAGAGGCACAAGCACUGCCCAGACCCUGCCCUGCCUGCCCUCCCCAGGGAACCAGGCCUGGUCUGUGUUCCACAGCAUCCUCAGGAAGGCUCAGAGGACUUGACACCAGAGCAAGGAUGUCCUCAGAUGCAGGAUGUCACCUGAGAAAGGAGGGAGCAGUGGGAACUCCCAGAGCCACUGGAGAUCCUUCUGUGCUGCUGCCUGUGGACCCUCUCCUUCAGAAUCCACAUCCUCCUCCCGUGCUGGAGCACUGAUUGCAACCAAUGGUAUGUGUAGGAUCUUAGCUUUAGCCUUGUCCAAUGAUUCCAAACCUCAAAUAAAGCCAAAGGCUCGGAACCAGUCAGCUCAGUCCCAUCUCCGAGGGCCUGCAGCUCUCAUACAGCAUCCGAGCAGAGGUCUGCCAUUCUGUUUACUAUUUACAGCCCUAUUCCAGGCAAUUUUGUAUUUGCUUUAAGCGUGGUACGUGGGCCUCAGAUGGACUCAGACUCCUUUCCUGAGAUGUUAUUGUGUGAGAUCUAAAGGUAGAUUUGCAGCAGUAUUCGGUCCGCGCUGUACUCGGUCCUGCAGGAAGAGGCACAAUGCAUCCUCCCUGUGAUCUGCAGCCUCGGCACAAGGAUGCAGUUAAGUAGGGCAGCGGCAACAGACGAUCAGCAGAACAGCUUUGUGGAUUAUUUACACAGAGCUCAGCCCAGCUGUGGCUGCAGGUUUUGUGCUCGUUCAAGGACACAGGCGGGGAGCUCCCUGCAGCCCACGUGCUGGGAUGUGAUGUUGAGCUGUGCCCUGGGGAAGGCAGCACAGGGGCCGCUUUGCAUGGCGACCACUGGGCAUGGUGAUCCAUUGGUGUGGUGAUCAGUUGGUGUGGUGACUACUUGGCAUGGCUUACAAGCCAUUUCCUGGCUUGCAGUGUCCCUGGCCUUGAAGGAAAGCCACCAUCGAAUCAGAGAAUUGUUAAAGAUGGGAAAGAUCACUAGGACCCCCAAGUCCAGCCCCAGCUGAUCCCACUGUGCCUGCUGACCAUGUCCUUUGGUGCCACAUCUUUGCUGCUGCUGAACACCUCUGGGGAUGGAGACUUUGCCACCUCCCUGUGCAGCUGUGCCAACACCAGCCUGUCCUAGUGAAGAUGAAGCUCCUGAGCAGGGCCUUCAGUUUAGUCCAGGCUCUGCUCCCACCCCUGGCGUUAUGCACUCAGCUCUCACCAUGGCUCUUGUGCUCCAUUGCCCUGCUGAGUGAGCUCUUGUGCUCCAAGGGCAAAAUUCAACCAGAUUCCCAUUGAUGGGAAUCUCCCAUCCCUGGAGACUCUCAAGGGAUCAGACUCUGGACAACCUGAUGUAGCCGUGGUGUCCCUGUGCAUUGCAGGGGAGCUGGACUAGAUGGCCUUUAAAUGUCCCUCCCAGCUCUAAGGAUCCCAUGAUUCUAUGAUGGGCUUCAGGUAAAGCUGCAGUGCCCUCCAGCAGAGGACGGAGCCCGCAGAGCACCGUGCUGCAGCUCCCAGAUUGUGAUCUGAUGUAUGAGGAAUGUUAACGUCAGAGCGCAGAGAGACGUUAUUGGGGAGCUGAGGAAAUGAGGAACAGCCUGGAGAUGGUCAGAGGGAGGGGUUAAUCUCCCUGGAAGUUUCUGGAAGCUCUUACAAAAGCAGCACUGCCGCUGUUUGUGCCAACGACUCGAUCAUCCAAUUCCAAGUCGAUAAACAAAGCUUCGUUCCAAAGUUAUUUCCAUUUGUUCCCAGGUACAGAAGAACCGUAUCGCGAUUUAUUGUUCCUUCUUAAUGUGUGUCUGCCAGGAGGGCGGCCAGUCUGAAUGCAGGCAGCGCACAGAAUGCCACGGAUGAGCCCUGAAUACAAAUGCAAAGGAAAUUAUCUUCUGCCGCUGUCAGAAGGCUCAGCUCCCGGGACACUCUCAGCCCAUUGCCAUCCAUCAGGGGCACUGCAGCCCUCCCUUUGUUUCCUGAUGCUAUUGCAGCACUGCUGACGCACAUGUGCUGCUGUUCGGUUCUCUGCGCUUCCAUCACACGUGGCUCCAUCUCAUUUCUGAACGUUUCCAUCCUCCACUUGAGGACCCUCAGCUCCUGUGCUCCCAGACCCGCAGCUGUGGCCACAGUUGAGCUCUGCUCAUUGGCUGACAGACAGACAGACGGGCACUGAGCUGUACCUGCACCCCCGGGUCUGUCUCUGGUGGGGACGUCGCUUCCUCUGCAAGGGGAUUAUAGAUAAUACAUUCUGGUCUAAUUAAAAUUUGCUGAAGUUAUUAGGA